This 113-nucleotide small nuclear RNA is filed under the name Chinchilla lanigera (long-tailed chinchilla). Its description in RNAcentral is "U4 spliceosomal RNA (ENSCLAG00000020689.1)". It matches the Rfam family "U4 spliceosomal RNA". Rfam says of the family: U4 small nuclear RNA (U4 snRNA) is a component of the major U2-dependent spliceosome. The structure of U4 snRNA from yeast and human has been reported. The record is from Rfam by way of RNAcentral. Lineage: Eukaryota; Metazoa; Chordata; Mammalia; Rodentia; Chinchillidae.
AGCUUUGCGCAGUGGCAGUAUCAUAGCCAAUGAGGUUUAUUUGAGGCGCAAUUAUUGCUAAUGGAAAAAGAUGCAAGAACUCUCAGAAAACAUUAGUUAAAAGCUAGAUGAGC